AAGUUUAUCACUUUUAAAUUUUUAAAAAAAAAUUUCAUAUCGUUUCUUCCUCACGCAAUUAGGGUUCAGAAUCCUCCAUGGCUCAUCUCAUUCUCCAUAGCCACCUCUCUUCCUCAUGUGAGCUCUCCUUCUCUUCUUCUUCGCUAUGUCCCAUUCCCAUUCUCAUAUCUCUGUUUAAAAAGUUAUCUUUCACACCUCUUUCCCUCCCCGUCAACACUCAAUCUCAUUCCUAUUCCCAUAUCUCUGUUUCUUGCUUUAUUCCUUAUAGGUUUCCUCUUUCCCAUACUACCAACUCUCUUAAACUUCCAGUUGCAACCAAUAGAGUCAAUAACGAUUUCCUUCUACAUUUCUCUUCAACUUCCCAAGAGAAAUCUCUCGAGUGGUCUCCGUGAAGUGGUGUCACUGAAAGUGAAGAACUUGAGACCAAUGAAGUUCAUAAAGACAAUUUGUAUGUCAUGCCUUUGGAUUACACUUCCCAAUCUGUUUGUGCUCUUUUUUCAGAAGUACGGGACUGUUGUAGACGUUACGCUUCCUAAGAAUCCCAAAAUAGCAUUUGUUACAAUGGCUUCACCAGAGGAGGCUCUUGCGGCUCUUAAUAGUCUUCAAUCGUGUGUAAGGAUAUUUCUAGUUUGAUCAACUCGAUUACUAUGUGUCAUAGGAAACUAAACAAUAUUUGGGUCAUGUGAUAAAUAACCAGAACUAUACAAAUAGUAAUAACAAUGAAGGAUCUAGUAUUUAAAGUACAAUUGUUAUUAAGAUCCGGAAGAUACAUUAAGUGUUUCAUCUUUAGAAGAAAAACUAAUGUACCAGAAGAACUUGAGCUGGCUAUGAUUCAGAAAACCCAACUCAUCACCUUCACAUUGAAGAAGUCUCACCAAAUACAGUACAAAGUUUACCUUCUCUAGAUAGAAGUUGUGUACUACUCAAAUGAUAUAAAACCAAACUAAUUUAUCCAAAAAUAAUAAAUUCAAACUAAAACGAAGUAGCCACACUAGAAAACAGUUCUAUGUACAUUUAAAGAAUGUCUAGUUCUGGAUGCUACUCUCUUAUUUUCUCUUUAAAAGUACCAUGUACAUAUUACAUUUACAUGCAUAAUGGACAAAAGACCUGCUCUCAUCCUUAGAAUAAGGCAAGUUUGACCCCACUAUAGAAUUUGGUACUGGAAUCAUGUUGCUCUUGGAAAUUGUUAGCUUAAUCUUUUUUUCGUAUUUGGGUCAUUUUGCAAAAGAUAACAAAUAUUUGGCAUUCGACAAAAGUAAUCACUUUCUCGUUAGAGGACCUAAUAGUAUUUAUUAUCUACAUAGCCAUGUUCUUCUUUACUAAUAUAAGUUUUUACUUUCUUUAAUUUUAUAUAAUUAUAGGAUGAACCAAAUAGCUAACAAACUUAAUUCGUCCAGACCUUUCUGUAUGUGUUUUUCGCUAAAUGUACUGAAAAAAUGGUUCCUUGUACUGUAAUUUAGUGUGUAAAUUCUAGUCCAGUGGAAAAAAAUGGUUCCUUAUACUUCAGGUUACUGACCUUUUAGAAGUUUUAGUUAAUUCUUCAAUUGGGUUAGUCUUUUAGUGCGUGCUAAACCAUCUUGCUCUGUAAUUAGAUUUUGCAAUUAGUGACAGCAAAUUAAAGUUUUAUAAAAAUAUUUGUCACUGCAUAUAAGACAUGAUUGAACUACAUGGAGAUCCUCACAACAGUUUUGGGUUUUGCAUGGAGCCUAUUCUCAACUUAGACAAUGACAAUCACAACAGAGUUGACAAACAUUCCAUUCCCUUUCAACCAUCAUCCCUCGUCACCUAUCAACAAGCUUUUCCAGCUAUUAUUGAUAAUAGCUCCCACCAGCAAUCAAUCUUGCUUGGCAAGAAGAUUUUGGCUCCACAAAUAGAAGUGAAGUAUUUUUAGGCUAUUCAAUGUAUGUGGCCAGCUUGAACCAAGUAAUGCAGUCCUAGUUACCGGAAAGGUGUCCUCGGCAUAUUCCUCUUUUGUCUUCAAUCUAUAAAACCAACCUCCGGAUUUUGCGGAGUACUACAAAUCUCCAUUUCUAGUCUUACUGGGCCAUCCUUCACGGAAAUCUCCUAAGAUUGGCUAUGCUAUAAGAGUCAAUCAAAUGGACAUGAGUUCUACUUGUUGGAUUAAAGUAGGCUUUCCAUUUUCAAUUCUGUGCUCAUUGUGAAUGAAGAUCCUGAAUUUGACCUGGCUUCAAGUUUGGGUUGGAAUUAAAUUUUAGUUUUUUGGGGUUGUGAGUAGAAAUUACUGCUAUUUCGGUCAACUUUCUCAAAUAUACAUUAAUUUCACUAUGUUUUUAUUAGUUUGUAUAUUGUUAGAUUAUAAUACUUUUAUUUGACCCGCACCUCCUACCAGCCCUUUAAUCUUUGAAUUAGUAUUCUAAGUUCUAACACAGGUUCUGUAUAAUUGUACCACUUUUCCAUUUCUUUUGUGAUACGUAAGAAGAAUCAAUUUCCUCUGGUUAACUUUCUACCUUUACAUUAUUACAUAUAUAUAUAUAUAUAUUCUUUUUCAUAGUAAUAUGUACUUGAAUAAGUGUAGUUUCGUGGUUUGGGAUUCGAGUUAAAAAAAUCACAUUUUAUAUGUGUUCAAUUAGUUAUGCAUAUCCAUAUAAAUUUUCAAAUAUUUUUUCUCCCAACUUAUUUUGGAUUCUUUAUUCACUACUAUAAAAACAUGCUUUUAUGAUACUUUUUAGGACAUUCACCUAAAUGCGAGCCCUAAAAAUAUCUCUUGGACUUUUUAGAACACUCAUUGAGAGUCUUUGAAGAAUUUCUUUUAGGACACGCGGUGCAAGUCCUAAAAACUGAUGUGUGUCCUAAAAGUUUGAUUUUUUUUUUACAAAAGCUCUUGGAUUUUUUAGGACACUCAUUGAGAGUCCUUAAAAAAUAUCUUUUAGGACUCGCUUACUGAUGUGAGUCCUAAAAGACUAUGAGGAAAUUUGAGUGAAGACUUUUAAGGACACACUUUGAGUGCCCUAAAAAAAUAAUAAAUAAAUAAAUUAACAAAUUAAAGUUUUAUUAAUAACUAAAUUUUUUUAAAAAAUAAAUAAAUGAAACAAAACCUCUCUCCCACUCAACCCCCCUCAUCCUUCUCUCUCUUCUCUCUCAGAUUCUCUCCCACCCGAAGCUCUCCUUCCCUCUCUCCCGCCUUAGAAUUUGCAGAGCACGACCGCCACCUUCCCCACCAUCACCAACAACACGUGCCAACUAGGGAGCUUCAGAGGCCACCGAAGCUUCAACCCACGCGAGCUUGAACCCUCAUGCGCCUCCUAAGGCAGAUAGCGACGCCUGCAAUUUUGGAUUUUCCCAAAGUUUUCGACGAGAUUCUGACCACCUUGGGUCAUUGUGAGUCGAGCCACCACCACCAUCGUACUCAACACUUUCAUGCGAGCAAAACCCAACCAAGGAUCGGGUUAGAAGUCACCGAAUUUCAUUUUUGUUGUUCGUCAGAAUCUAUGGAGUCCGAAACUUUUUGGCUCCAAUCCGACCACCACGUUCAGUUCAACGAAGAACCACCACCACCAUGACGUUCCUCGAGCCUUAGGCUUUGAAAGCCAAUCACUGUUUUCUCUAAUAAUCGUCGUAGGGUGGUGGCGCCGCUGCUGUCGCCAGAGCUCCGAUGGAAGCUUUGGCUACCAAUUACUUUUUUAAAAAUUAAAAAUAAAACUUUUUAGGACUCGAAAUGCGAAGCCUAAAAACAUUAUUUUAGGGCUUGCAACGUGAGUCCUAAAAAACCUCACUUUUUAAGGCUCUCAAAUAAAGGACUCGUGCUCCGCGAGUCCUAAAAAGCCUGUUUUGUAGUAGUGAUUUAUUUAAUAACUAGAUUAGUAAAAGUAACUUGAUACUAGAACAAAGAAAUAACAUAAGUGAACCAUAUGAUUUAGGGUAUCAGGUUACCCCAAUUAUCAUUAUUAUCAUUUUUUUUGGGUAUAUUAUUUAGGAAUUACAUAACAAACAAAUGAGUUGUAUGUAUUUGUGUGGAUUCAAAAUUGUAGUGACCCAAAAUUUAUUUUAUGUUUUAUUUAAUUGUUUGAUUAUUAGAAAAUAAUUUGAAUUGUUUGUUUUGUGUGAAUUAGGAUUUAAUUGAUUUAUUUGGAAUAAUUGUGUAAUGCUUGUUUAAGUAUUAGUGUUACAUUUUUAGGUGUGACAAAUUAUGUGAUUAGAAUAGGUUACAUUAUUAUUUAUUAUUUAUUUAUUGAGUGAGCGUGUGUCGAAUUGUGUGUGUGUGGUUGGGUGGGUGGAAUUUAUUUAAUUUUAGUUUGAGAAAAAGAAAAGAAUUGUUGAGUUGUCAUCUUUUGGGAAAAGAUGACAAUGAUUAUCCAUUGUAGUUUUUUUCACAUUGGAUAGAGUUUAGGUGAGGUGUAAAGAGAAGAAAUGGUGAGAUUUAGGCUUAUGUGGUGGGAUAGGAUUUGAGCUUUCACACUUAGGUUCUUUUCUUAGGGUUAGAUCGUUGGGAUGUUAUAAAUAGAAGAGUGUGAGCCCUGGGAAAACCCUUUGUGGUUGCUGAAAUUGAGAGAGAAAGAAAGAGAGGAGGAAAGGAAAGAGAGAGAGAGAGAGAGAGAGAGAGAGAGAGAAGAAGGGUGGGGUUGAAACUCUUUAGGUAGACUUGUUUGGCACGCAUAGUGACUUGAGUCAUCCAUAAGUAUGUAUGUAUGCUGCGGGGAGCCAAUAAGUGAGGAAAUGAUCCAGAACGCCAUUGUGCCUGAGAGUCUUUCCUUUUGUUAAUUUAUCAGUGGGAUGUAUUUUAUUUAUUUUAAGACUGGAUUAAAUUCUCUUUUGUUUUUGGACAUUGGAUCCAAACUCUGUAUUAUCUUCAAUAAGGACCCAUUGAGUUUUUAGUCAUACUAUGUAAUCUUUUAAAUUAUUAUUAAAAUUAGUAUUUUAAUAAAGAUAGGGAAUUAAUGGCGUUACAAAAAUCCCUUUUGUUGGUUCCCUAA
This is an RNA transcript of Humulus lupulus (European hop), 4931 nucleotides long. RefSeq lists it as uncharacterized. Lineage: Eukaryota; Viridiplantae; Streptophyta; Magnoliopsida; Rosales; Cannabaceae. The transcript has 6 exons. The record is from RefSeq and is a predicted model, not a curated record.